This 406-nucleotide ribosomal RNA is filed under the name uncultured rumen bacterium. RNAcentral describes it as "bacterial SSU rRNA". It matches the Rfam family "Bacterial small subunit ribosomal RNA", at positions 354 to 776 of the family's 1533-position model. The record is from RNAcentral.
GUGGGGAAUAUUGCACAAUGGGCGCAAGCCUGAUGCAGCAACGCCGCGUGAGCGAAGAAGGUCUUCGGAUCGUAAAGCUCUGUCCUCAGGAACGAAGAAGUGACGGUACCUGAGGAGGAAGCCCCGGCUAACUACGUGCCAGCAGCCGCGGUAAUACGUAGGGGGCGAGCGUUAUCCGGAAUUAUUGGGCGUAAAGAGUACGUAGGCGGUUCUGUAAGCGUGAGGUGAAAGCCCGGGGCUUAACUCCGGUAAGCCUUUCGAACUGCAGGACUUGAGUGCUGGAGGGGAAAGUGGAAUUCCUAGUGUAGCGGUGAAAUGCGUAGAUAUUAGGAGGAACACCAGUGGCGAAGGCGACUUUCUGGACAGUAACUGACGCUGAGGUACGAAAGCGUGGGGAGCAAACAGG